Long non-coding RNA from Zingiber officinale, 208 nucleotides. RefSeq lists it as uncharacterized. The record is from RefSeq and is a predicted model, not a curated record. The transcript has 3 exons. NCBI's taxonomy places the organism in Eukaryota, Viridiplantae, Streptophyta, Magnoliopsida, Zingiberales, Zingiberaceae.
AGCUUUCUGUGACUAUCGGCAUUUUUCUAGCUUAUCUACUGGGUAUGUUUGUUCAUUGGAGAUUGCUUGCAGUUAUAGGAAUAUUGCCAUGUACCAUCCUCAUUCCCAGUCUUUUCUUCAUUCCAGAGUCGCCAAGGUGGUUGGCAAAAAUGGGCAUGAUGGAAGAUUUUGAAGCUUCUUUACAAGUUUUGAGAGGUUUUGCUACUAA